This is a long non-coding RNA of Capsicum annuum, 2696 nucleotides long. RefSeq lists it as uncharacterized. The record is from RefSeq and is a predicted model, not a curated record. The transcript has 2 exons. Lineage: Eukaryota; Viridiplantae; Streptophyta; Magnoliopsida; Solanales; Solanaceae.
UAGUAUUAAAGUAAUUCCAAGAGUCCCUUUGGUCGAGGCCGUUGCAUGCCACUUCCUCCAUGUCCCCCAGUGCCGCACUUGGUUUUCUUCUGGGGCUUUUCAUUCAUCCAAAGUUCCAUUCUUGAAUUGUUUCUAAUGUUCUCCCUUUCCACCUUUUCAAAGUUUUAAUUCUUUAGCGUUGUAAAUAGUUAGAUUCAAAGCAUUUACAGUCCAUUCUUGAUAUUUUGUUAUGCAAUGGAAUUAUUUACUUUGUGAAUGUCUAUUAAUGGUAUGGAAAUACUGGUAUAGAUGAAUUAUAAUUUGUGGGUGGCUCUCAUGAUCAAUUUUUGAGCAAGGGUUGGAGGGAGGUGAUUAGGCAUGAUAUGGAGCAGUUACAACUUAUGGUGAGCAUGAUAGGAAAGUGUGGAGGACUCAAAUUAGGAGGGUGGAGAGUUAGUGGAUAGGAGUGCAUUCGUAAUGGUAGGGAGGAGUGCUUUAUUUGUAUUUGUGCUUGGAGUUUCCUGUAGUUUCUUGUUUGUAUUGUUUGUAGUGUUUUGAUGAUGUUUGUGAUCUCGAACAAAUAAUUAAUAGUAUUACCAUGUCGGUAUCUUAUUUCUUUUAAUUUGUAGCGGUGUGUUAUCCUAUUUUGUUGUUUAUAUUUAUGUUGUUUGUUUGUUAUACUGUUAUCUGUCCUGAGCCAGGGGUCUAUAAAAAAUAACCUCUCUACUUCAUCCGAGGUAGUGGUAUGGACUGUGUACACUUUACCCUCCCCAGACCUCAUUUUAUGGGAAUACACUGGGUAUGCUGUUGCUGUUGUUGAUGUGUCUAGUUGCUAGCAGUUCCCUUUGGUGGGCAAUCUAUUAGACAGAGUAUGUUGAGUCCUGUGGGAUGUCAUGGGUAUCAGGGACAGAGCUAAGUAGGGUUGAGGGGGUUGAGCCAAAACCCCUUAGGUGGAAAAUUACAUUGUUUAUAUAUGAUUAAAAUUAUUUUUAUGUAUAUAUUGUAGAUGUUGAACCCCUUUUUGCUUCUUCCUGCGUUUUACUUAUUCAUAUUUUGAACCCCUUUAGUGAAAAUCUUGGCUUCGCUAUUGGUUUGGAUAGCCUAAAGCGCUGAACUUAUUUGGACCUAUAGCGCUCUCUAUAUAUAUAUGUGGGGUGGGGUGGGGUUUCUUACACGAUGGAGGAUUAUUUGAUUGAAUUGAAUUGGGAAAUUGCUAAAACUCUAACCAUGAUAAAUGAAAUCAUCGUUUGCCUUUUAUUGCAUCCAUGUCUUAGGGAUACAUGAGUAUGAGUAAUUUGUGCAGAUCCUUUAAAUCACACUGAAAACUUCCUAAAAGUUUUAAUGUACAUGUACAUGCACAUACUCCAUGCCGCAGACCCAAUUGGACAUAGUGCUUUCAUAUCUUCCUGCUCAAUUUAAUGUUCCAUUAGGAAAAAAAGGACAUGACAACUUUCGAUAGCAUAUGAAUUUGUUGUCACUUGUCAUGAACCAAACAACUGAAUGGUAUUGACAACGGGACAUCUUGCUUUUAAUAGUGUAAACCAAAUCGUGAAUACAUGGGACCUAGUUUCCCGAUAGCAAUGCGUUUACUUAAGUCGAAGACCUGUAGUCGAACCAAUGACUGCUAUUGAAGGAGCACUACGUGUCUGCCAUAAACUGUUACUGUGUGAAAUAACAGAGAAAAAUAUUAUUGAAUUGUUGCAUCUACAUUAUUACAUCGAAACCCUAUUUAUAGACACAACAUUCUAAUCCUUUUCCAAAUAGGAUGCUACAUUACAGUCCUUUUCCAAGUAAGAUUCUAUAUGCUAUUCCUAUUCCUACUCUUAUUAUAACAGUUACAUAAUGUAAAGAACCACUAAAUUAGUAUAGACACCUAUACUAAGUGAAAAAAAAAGGAGAAAUAUGACAAAUUAUGUACUGAAAACUGUAACAGAUACUACUCCCUUUGUUUCAUUUUAUGUAGCACUCUUUCAUUUUUAGCUGGUUCCAAAAGAGUAGUACCUUUCUAUAUAUGGAAUCUCUUUAACUCUAAAAUCCUAUAAUGAAAUGCUCUUAUCGCCACAUGGACAAUUAGGGCCAUAAGUUCUAAGGAUACUUUUCAUACCUGUCAAAAUUCUUCCCUUCUUUCUUAAAAUCAGUUCCUAGUCAAGCAUCACCACAUAAAAUGCAAAUGGGGAGUGAUUGAUUUUACAGUUGAAACCCCGGGUGGCAGUUAAGAGGUGCAAAUUGGAUCAAACCUCAGGUGCUGGCUCACGGUUCUUGACAGAAAAGAGAAUUAAGAAGACAUAGGCUUCUUGUACGGAAUUGUUCAUCUUGUACAUUAAGCAUACAAAAUUUGGACGGUUGGAUUUGUAUUACAUGAAAUUCUCAGCACAGGAAACUGAUGUAAUUGCUUCAGAAACAUAAUUGUACAAUGUAGAAGGCGCAAUGAAUCAGCUGCAACUCGAUUGGAUCUUUGUCAGUGUCACUUCAUCUCUUAGUCCAUCUGUCUCUUAUCUAUUAUGAGGCAGUUCUUUUUUGCAUUGUCAGGGCUGAUAAAUUAUUUCACUUUCUUCAUCCUUGUGUCGCAUUUCUUAAUGUGUUCAUGAACUUGCUGUCCCUGAUUUAGUCAUUGUAGAAUAGAGAGCAGGUGAGACGAUAAGGGCGGGAAUUUGUACUCGUGAUGACUUUAUGUUGGUGCAUUUGUGUUUCAAUUUUGUUGAAUUGCAGUUUUGGUA